RNAcentral lists this RNase P RNA (233 nucleotides) under Salmonella enterica subsp. enterica serovar Agona. Its description in RNAcentral is "partial RNase P RNA component class A". It matches the Rfam family "Bacterial RNase P class A", at positions 135 to 367 of the family's 367-position model. Rfam says of the family: Ribonuclease P (RNase P) is a ubiquitous endoribonuclease, found in archaea, bacteria and eukarya as well as chloroplasts and mitochondria. Its best characterised activity is the generation of mature 5'-ends of tRNAs by cleaving the 5'-leader elements of precursor-tRNAs. Lineage: Bacteria; Pseudomonadati; Pseudomonadota; Gammaproteobacteria; Enterobacterales; Enterobacteriaceae. RNAcentral also lists the same sequence under 1 other name. The record is from RNAcentral.
CCGAUGGCCCACGCAAGUGGGAUCAGGUAAGGGUGAAAGGGUGCGGUAAGAGCGCACCGCGCGGCUGGUAACAGUCCGUGGCACGGUAAACUCCACCCGGAGCAAGGCCAAAUAGGGGUUCAUAAGGUACGGCCCGUACUGAACCCGGGUAGGCUGCUUGAGCCAGUGAGCGAUUGCUGGCCUAGAUGAAUGACUGUCCACGACAGAACCCGGCUUAUCGGUCAGUUUCACUU